Long non-coding RNA from Sinocyclocheilus rhinocerous, 702 nucleotides. RefSeq lists it as uncharacterized. Lineage: Eukaryota; Metazoa; Chordata; Actinopteri; Cypriniformes; Cyprinidae. The record is from RefSeq and is a predicted model, not a curated record. The transcript has 3 exons.
CUUCCUUUGAUUUAUAAGUUGCUUUAGCCCAGUGGGUCAUUAAUGCCCUCUUCAUUAGAGCUUGUUUACGGGAUUAAACACGUUUGGAGAGCCAAGCUUAGCAAAACGUUUGCAUCAUGGAACAAGAAAAACUUGGCUGACACAGAUGCACGGACCAUUUAAACCACGGAUGCUGUGCAAACAGUCCUUUUAAAGUGUACUGUGGAGUUCACGAACGGUCAAACCAACAGCUCAAUGGAGGACAGUGCGUCAGCUCAAAGGAUCCCCUCUGAUCCCCGGUGGACUCUUCAAAUGUAAGUUGACAAGAAGAAAAUAACAGCCAAUCCCAUGUGAAAGCCCCUCUCCCUUUGAAGGUCUGCUCUGGCCCAGCCAAAGAACAAUCUGGUAGUGAUUGAGAAGAUGACAUCAUCAGAAAGGUUGGAGUUGAGGUGGCACAAGAGAGAGAUAAAGAAAGAGAGGAGAGUGAGCGUGUGUGCCUGUGAGCAUGUGCAUGACAAUGAGGGAGUCAACAAGAGCUGGCUGAAGGUCACAUGACAGAAGAAAAAGAGUGGAAAAAUGAACCAAAUGUGCUUUCUCAAAACACCAUGUGCCUUUUGGCAGCUGUUGUGGCCUUGUGUGUUACUGCAUGGACUGUGCGCGUGAGUGGUGCGUGAUUUUGCUAACUGUAGGUUACCCAUCUACACCCCCUUACACAAUUCAAAC